Molecule: ribosomal RNA, 451 nt
Filed under: uncultured bacterium
Lineage: Bacteria
Description: partial 16S ribosomal RNA
Rfam family: Bacterial small subunit ribosomal RNA
Source: RNAcentral
AACGAACGCUGGCGGCAGGCUUAACACAUGCAAGUCGAACGCGUGUAGCAAUACACGAGUGGCGCACGGGUGAGUAACGCGUGGAUAUCUGCCUUUUGGUUCGGAAUAACCCCGUGAAACUGGGGCUAAUCGCGGAUGGUUCCUUCGGGAUAAAGACUUAUCGCCAAAAGAUGAGUCCGCGUCCGAUUAGCUAGUUGUUGAGGUAAUGGCUAACCAAGGCGACGAUCGGUAGCCGGUCUGAGAGGACGAUCAGCCACACUGGGACUGAGACACGGCCCAGACUCCUACGGGAUGCAGCAGUGGGGAAUAUUGGACAAUGGGGGCAACCCUGAUCCAGCCAUGCCGCGUGAGUGAUGAAGGCCUUCGGGUUGUAAAGCUCUUUUGGCGGGGACGAUGAUGACGGUACCCGCAGAAUAAGCCCCGGCUAACUUCGUGCCAGCAGCCGCAGUAA